CCCUUAGAUGUCCUGGGCCGCACGCGCGCUACACUGACAUGUUCAACAAGCCUCCUAGUUCGACAGGAUUUGGGAAAUCUUUGAACGCAUGUCGUGAUAGGGAUAGAUCAUUGCAAUUAUUGAUCUUGAACGAGGAAUUCCUAGUAAACGCGAGUCAUCAGCUCGCAUUGAUUACGUCCCUGCCCUUUGUACACACCGCCCGUCGCACCUACCGAUUGAAUGUUUCGGUGAAGAUUCCGGAUAGGACUUUUUUGAUUUAUUUCAAUUCUGUCUUAAAAGCUAUCUAAACCUCAACAUUUAGAGGAAGGUGAAGCCGUAACA
This 321-nucleotide ribosomal RNA is filed under the name uncultured eukaryote. Its description in RNAcentral is "partial 18S ribosomal RNA". It matches the Rfam family "Eukaryotic small subunit ribosomal RNA", at positions 1470 to 1796 of the family's 1831-position model. The record is from RNAcentral.